This 74-nucleotide transfer RNA is filed under the name Clostridium sp. CAG:715. It matches the Rfam family "tRNA". Rfam says of the family: Transfer RNA (tRNA) molecules are approximately 80 nucleotides in length. Their secondary structure includes four short double-helical elements and three loops (D, anti-codon, and T loops). Further hydrogen bonds mediate the characteristic L-shaped molecular structure. tRNAs have two regions of fundamental functional importance: the anti-codon, which is responsible for specific mRNA codon recognition, and the 3' end, to which the tRNAs corresponding amino acid is attached (by aminoacyl-tRNA synthetases). tRNAs cope with the degeneracy of the genetic code in two manners: having more than one tRNA (with a specific anti-codon) for a particular amino acid; and 'wobble' base-pairing, i.e. permitting non-standard base-pairing at the 3rd anti-codon position. The record is from Rfam by way of RNAcentral. RNAcentral also lists the same sequence under 11 other names. Lineage: Bacteria; Bacillati; Bacillota; Clostridia; Eubacteriales; Clostridiaceae.
GGCUUCGUAGCUCAGCAGGAUAGAGCAGUGGUUUCCUAAACCAAAGAUCGCGCGUUCGAAUCGCGCCGGGGCCA